AGAGAUAAGACAUUUACAUAAGUUUUGUUAGAGUGUAUUGUUAAACUUAUUCUAUUAUUAGUUACUAAUUAUUAAUUAUUAUUAAUUUAUUAAUAGUUAUUGUUGCUAAUCUCUUAGUAUGCUUAACUUAUGAAUUAAACUUUAUCAUAGGUAUGUAUGUACAGAAAAUAACCCAUGGAGGGAAUAGGGUUCAGUAUUGUCCCUGAUUUCAGGCAUGUGCUGGGAAUUUCGGAAUCUUGGAACAUAUCCCCUGUGGAUAAGGGAGGACUACCGCAUUAGGACUGUUUGAGUUGCAAGCCAACUUUAUGAGCUGAAUAUUUUCCUGAAACACUGGCAGCGUGAUUUCUCCCAACCAUGUGUCUCCAUCCCAAACUGAAAAGACCAUUUUCCUGAGGCAGCUAUUCAAAACUGCGGCCAGCUUGACCGCUUUUCUUGAAUUGAGUUACGAACAGAUUGGUCAGAAAGCGAUACCUGUUUGAGCUGACUGAUUAUUAACCAAGAGUCAAAUUAUGUGCCUAGACAAAGUGUGAGUUAUGGGAAGAACCCAGUCUCUCUCUCUCUCCUUUAGGUCAGAGUAAAGGGAACCAUUGACUUCACUGUAGUUUUGGAUUAUGCAGGGAAUGGUCAGGGUUGUUUUGGAAUCCCAAAGAUCUACUUUCAAACUUUGGUCCUACUGAGGUAGCUGCGUGAGUUUGGACCAUCUGUGUGCCUACAAACAUCUAGAGAGACAUCAGCAGAUCCCCGUAAUGGCUACAACACUGCCUGGCCUUUCAUCCCUGAAUGAAAACUCCAAACUCUGCCAGGACUGCAAAUCGUCUUCCUCACAAACACGAGCUACCUGAAAGUCUUACGAUACAUUUUGUAUUCUCAGCGGCAAGUUAUAGACCUACAGCAAUUACUCGCAUAUGCAUUUUUAUGCAUUUGUCUGAAUGUUUACGACGGCAUGUUCAAUUAUGUUCUACAAACACUAAUUUUGAGGAAUGCUAACAAUUUUAGUACAUUUGUUAAGCACCUAGUAUGUGCUUUACAUGAAUUUUCUCAUCAAAUGCUCACAAGUGGUAUUAGCAUUAUUUCCAUUUUAUGGAUGAGGGAAGUGAGGAUUUGAGAGGUGGCAUGACAUGGCUAAGCAGUUGAACUGGACUUUGAAUCCCACAGCCUGACUCUGGAGAUCACACCCUUAAAUGGUACAGCAUAACUGUUAGGUAAAAAAGGAUGUUGGGGUCAAUGAAUUUGGAAAUACAAAGCUAAACUAAAUUGAAAAACUUCUUUCUUGCACAAUUUCUCAGUCAGUCAUUGAGUCUCUAAGGUGAAAUAUAACACACAGUAUUUCCUAAACUUACCAAACCCCAUCGAUCACUCAAGUGCUUGGAGCAUGAGCGCCUAGUUUCAGAUGCCAGUUUUGCCACUUGCUAUGUUUGUAACCCUCAGCAAGUGAUUUAACUUCUUAUUAAGUUACUUACUCACCCAAAGAAGAUUGAACUAUAUUUAGCAAAUUGUACCUACCAAGACAGAAGAAUGGCCAACAUGUCUCUGAGUAAAUUUUCAGAAAGACUGGAAAUGGGAUUUUUCAUUAAUAUUCAGGUUAGUGAAUGAGAAAUAUUUAACUAACCGGAGUGUCUUUUUUUUUAGAACAGUUUAAUUAACCAGUGUUUGACUUUUUCCUGAGACCUUUCUGAUUUAAAGUUUUUCUAUCUUUUAAAGUUUUUCAGGUAUUUACAUUAAA
Long non-coding RNA from Felis catus (domestic cat), 1723 nucleotides. RefSeq lists it as uncharacterized. The record is from RefSeq and is a predicted model, not a curated record. The transcript is spliced from 3 exons. Lineage: Eukaryota; Metazoa; Chordata; Mammalia; Carnivora; Felidae.